This 368-nucleotide ribosomal RNA is filed under the name uncultured organism. Its description in RNAcentral is "bacterial SSU rRNA". It matches the Rfam family "Bacterial small subunit ribosomal RNA", at positions 526 to 896 of the family's 1533-position model. The record is from RNAcentral.
CGUAGGUGGCAAGCGUUGUCCGGAUUUAUUGGGUUUAAAGGGUGCGUAGGCGGCUCUAUAAGUCAGUGCUGAAAUAUCCCGGCUUAACCGGGAGGGUGGCAUUGAUACUGCAGAGCUUGAGUAAAGUUGAGGUUGGCGGAAUUGACGGUGUAGCGGUGAAAUGCUUAGAUAUCGUCAAGAACACCUAUUGCGAAGGCAGCUAACUAAGCUUUAACUGACGCUGAGGCACGAAAGUGUGGGGAUCAAACAGGAUUAGAUACCCUGGUAGUCCACGCCCUAAACUAUGGAUACUCGACAUUUGCGAUACACUGCAAGUGUCUGAGCGAAAGCAUUAAGUAUCCCACCUGGGAAGUACGAUCGCAAGAUUG